GCCAGGCAUGGUGGCGCAUGCCUGUAGUCCCAGCUAUUUGGGAGGCUAAGGUAGGAGGAUCACCUGAGCCCAGGGAGGUUGAGGCUGCAGUGAACCAUGAUCACACCACUGCACUCCAGCCUGAGCAACAGAGUGAGACCUUGUCUCAA
Molecule: non-coding RNA, 149 nt
Filed under: Gorilla gorilla gorilla (western lowland gorilla)
Lineage: Eukaryota; Metazoa; Chordata; Mammalia; Primates; Hominidae
Source: Rfam by way of RNAcentral